Ornithorhynchus anatinus (platypus) is the source of this 72-nucleotide non-coding RNA. The record is from Rfam. NCBI's taxonomy places the organism in Eukaryota, Metazoa, Chordata, Mammalia, Monotremata, Ornithorhynchidae.
AGCAGCGUGGCUCAGUGGAAUGAGCACGGGCUUGGGAGCCAGAGGUCACGGGUUCGUAUCCCGGCUCUGCCG